GGGCCCGCACAAGCGGUGGAGUAUGUGGUUUAAUUCGAUGCAACGCGAAGAACCUUACCAGGGUUUGACAUCCUGCGAAUCUCUUGGAAACAGGAGAGUGCCUUCGGGAACGCAGUGACAGGUGGUGCAUGGCUGUCGUCAGCUCGUGUCGUGAGAUGUUGGGUUAAGUCCCGCAACGAGCGCAACCCACGUCUUUAGUUGCCAGCAUUUAGUUGGGCACUCUAGAGAGACUGCCGGUGAUAAACCGGAGGAAGGUGUGGAUGACGUCAAGUCAUCAUGCCCCUUACAUCCUGGGCUACACACGUACUACAAUGGUACUUACAAUGAGAAGCAAAGAUGCAAGUCCUAG
RNAcentral lists this ribosomal RNA (349 nucleotides) under uncultured bacterium. Its description in RNAcentral is "bacterial SSU rRNA". It matches the Rfam family "Bacterial small subunit ribosomal RNA", at positions 917 to 1267 of the family's 1533-position model. The record is from RNAcentral.